This 77-nucleotide transfer RNA is filed under the name Oscillospiraceae bacterium. RNAcentral describes it as "tRNA-Arg". It matches the Rfam family "tRNA". Rfam says of the family: Transfer RNA (tRNA) molecules are approximately 80 nucleotides in length. The record is from RNAcentral. Lineage: Bacteria; Bacillati; Bacillota; Clostridia; Eubacteriales; Oscillospiraceae.
GCGUCUUUAACUCAGCUGGAUAGAGUAACUGCCUUCUAAGCAGUAAGCCACAGGUUCGAAUCCUGUAAGACGCGCCA